Molecule: ribosomal RNA, 325 nt
Filed under: uncultured Streptococcus sp.
Lineage: Bacteria; Bacillati; Bacillota; Bacilli; Lactobacillales; Streptococcaceae
Description: bacterial SSU rRNA
Rfam family: Bacterial small subunit ribosomal RNA
Source: RNAcentral
GUCAGCUCGUGUCGUGGGAGUGUGGUUAAGUCCGCAACGAGCGCAACCCCUAUUGUUAGUUGCCAUCAUUCAGUUGGGCACUCUAGCGAGACUGCCGGUAAUAAACCGGAGGAAGGUGGGGAUGACGUCAAAUCAUCAUGCCCCUUAUGACCUGGGCUACACACGUGCUACAAUGGUUGGUACAACGAGUUGCGAGUCGGUGACGGCGAGCUAAUCUCUUAAAGCCAAUCUCAGUUCGGAUUGUAGGCUGCAACUCGCCUACAUGAAGUCGGAAUCGCUAGUAAUCGCGGAUCAGCACGCCGCGGUGAAUACGUUCCCGGGCCUU